This 581-nucleotide ribosomal RNA is filed under the name uncultured bacterium. RNAcentral's name for it is "bacterial SSU rRNA". It matches the Rfam family "Bacterial small subunit ribosomal RNA", at positions 912 to 1504 of the family's 1533-position model. The record is from RNAcentral.
GACGGGGGCCCGCACAAGCGGUGGAGCAUGUGGUUUAAUUCGAUGAUACGCGAGGAACCUUACCAGGGCUUAAAUGUAGUCUGACAGGUCUGGAAACAGACUUUUCUUCGGACAGAUUACAAGGUGCUGCAUGGUUGUCGUCAGCUCGUGCCGUGAGGUGUCAGGUUAAGUCCUAUAACGAGCGCAACCCCUGUGGUUAGUUGCCAGCGAGUAAUGUCGGGAACUCUAGCCAGACUGCCGGUGCAAACCGCGAGGAAGGUGGGGAUGACGUCAAAUCAUCACGGCCCUUACGUCCUGGGCCACACACGUGCUACAAUGGUAGGGACAGAGAGCAGCCACUUCGCGAGAAGGAGCGAAUCUACAAACCCUAUCACAGUUCGGAUCGCAGUCUGCAACUCGACUGCGUGAAGCUGGAAUCGCUAGUAAUCGCAUAUCAGCCAUGAUGCGGUGAAUACGUUCCCGGGCCUUGUACACACCGCCCGUCAAGCCAUGGAAGCCGGGGGUACCUGAAGUCGGUCACCGCAAGGAGCCGCCUAGGGUAAAACUGGUAACUGGGGCUAAGUCGUAACAAGGUAACCGUA